CAGCAGCCACGGUAAAACGUAGGGUGCAAGCGUUAAUCGGAAUUACUGGGCGUAAAGCGUGCGCAGGCGGUUAUAUAAGACAGAUGUGAAAUCCCCGGGCUCAACCUGGGAACUGCAUUUGUGACUGUAUAGCUAGAGUACGGCAGAGGGGGAUGGAAUUCCGCGUGUAGCAGUGAAAUGCGUAGAUAUGCGGAGGAACACCGAUGGCGAAGGCAAUCCCCUGGGCCUGUACUGACGCUCAUGCACGAAAGCGUGGGGAGCAAACAGGAUUAGAUACCCCAGUAGUCCCUGUCUCUUUACA
Molecule: ribosomal RNA, 301 nt
Filed under: uncultured bacterium
Lineage: Bacteria
Description: partial 16S ribosomal RNA
Rfam family: Bacterial small subunit ribosomal RNA
Source: RNAcentral